This 106-nucleotide small nucleolar RNA is filed under the name Gossypium hirsutum (cotton). Its description in RNAcentral is "Plant small nucleolar RNA R71". It matches the Rfam family "Plant small nucleolar RNA R71". From Rfam's summary of the family: R71 is a member of the C/D box family of snoRNAs containing the C (UGAUGA) and D (CUGA) box motifs. Multiple nearly identical copies of this snoRNA have been identified in Arabidopsis, and it is thought to function as a 2'-O-ribose methylation guide for 18S ribosomal RNA. The record is from Rfam by way of RNAcentral. Lineage: Eukaryota; Viridiplantae; Streptophyta; Magnoliopsida; Malvales; Malvaceae.
AACCCAUGGUGAGGGCACCUUCUCAACAGAGCCUUGUGUCUCUCCCAUGCAUCGUAAAGUGUUUCUAAAUCCAUCUGCACAAAAGAGGAGAUAUCAUUAUGUAAUU